UCAAAAAGCGGAGGAAAAGAAACUAACAAGGAUUCCCCUAGUAACGGCGAGUGAAGCGGGAAGAGCUCAAAUUUAAAAUCUGGCUUGCUUGCAAGUCCGAGUUGUAGUCUGAAGAAGCGUUUUCCAUGAAAGCUGAGGCACAAGUCCUUUGGAACAGGGCAUCAUAGAGGGUGAGAAUCCCGUCCAUGGUCUCAUGCAUUUCAUUUUGUGAUACGUUUUCUAAGAGUCAGGUUGUUUGGGAAUGCAGCCUAAAAUGGGUGGUAAAUUUCAUCUAAAGCUAAAUAUUGGCGAGAGACCGAUAGCGAACAAGUACCGUGAGGGAAAGAUGAAAAGAACUUUGAAAAGAGAGUUAAAAAGUACGUGAAAUUGUUGAAAGGGAACCGUUUGAAGCCAGUCUUGCUUACUUGUGAUCAAUCUUAGCUUCGGCUUGGAUGCACUCUCAAGUUAUGCAGGUCAACGUCAGUUUGAGAGGUGGGAAAAAAGUUUGAGGAAUGUGGCCUUCGGGUGUUAUAGCCUCUUACUAAAUACCAUCUCCUGGACUGAGGCUCGCAGCAAAAAUGUGGGCUGGUUUGCUCCUGAGGUGAAUCAUUAUUAAGACAGCUUGCUGACUUAGUUUUGUGGAUCUUCACGGUAGGCUAGCUUCUAAUUGCUUAGGUCGU
This 659-nucleotide ribosomal RNA is filed under the name Umbelopsis ramanniana. RNAcentral describes it as "LSU rRNA". It matches the Rfam family "Eukaryotic large subunit ribosomal RNA", at positions 43 to 626 of the family's 3401-position model. The record is from RNAcentral. Lineage: Eukaryota; Fungi; Mucoromycota; Umbelopsidomycetes; Umbelopsidales; Umbelopsidaceae.